GCUGGAUUUAUGAUCUGCUGUAGCCUCUGGCUCCCGACUAGUGUACCAGAGUCAGAGGUGGAGGAGAUGAGGAAGGGAGAGAUGGUGGAGGAAGGAAGCAGAAAAUAAACAGAUCGGAAGAGCA
Felis catus (domestic cat) is the source of this 124-nucleotide long non-coding RNA. RefSeq lists it as uncharacterized. NCBI's taxonomy places the organism in Eukaryota, Metazoa, Chordata, Mammalia, Carnivora, Felidae. The transcript has 3 exons. The record is from RefSeq and is a predicted model, not a curated record.